ACUCUUCUUGCAAUUGAUCCAGCUGAACGUCAGACAGCCACAGCUGCCCUUAGAAGUGAAUUCUUCACAACAGAGCCUUAUGCCUGUGAACCUUCUAGUCUCCCAAAAUAUCCCCCAAGUAAGGAGAUGGAUGCUAAACGACGAGAUGAUGAAGCUCGAAGAUUAAGAGCAGCUGCAAAAGCCCAGGUAUAAGGCUCUGUUGUGAAGAAUUC
Molecule: unclassified non-coding RNA, 212 nt
Filed under: Hevea brasiliensis (rubber tree)
Lineage: Eukaryota; Viridiplantae; Streptophyta; Magnoliopsida; Malpighiales; Euphorbiaceae
Source: RNAcentral